This is a non-coding RNA of Ciona intestinalis (vase tunicate), 236 nucleotides long. Lineage: Eukaryota; Metazoa; Chordata; Ascidiacea; Phlebobranchia; Cionidae. The record is from RefSeq and is a predicted model, not a curated record.
CUCAUGCUGCGAACAAAUUUACUGGUUAGCGACUCCUUGCGGGUAAACCUUUUUGCAGAAAUGUUAAGGAAGUAACACCUUAACUGAUCUUAUACACAGACUGCAUCAAAUGCCUACUGGUAUUUUGAAAAAUGUAUUUUGCAACUAUAAAGGUACAUUUAAAGAAUGCAGGUUAUCUGGUUUAAGAACUUCUACUGGCGGGAAAUCCCAAAGAUAAAAACAAUUUUUUUUGGUAA